Molecule: long non-coding RNA, 902 nt
Filed under: Olea europaea subsp. europaea
Lineage: Eukaryota; Viridiplantae; Streptophyta; Magnoliopsida; Lamiales; Oleaceae
Source: RNAcentral
AGCAAAGGCUUUAAAUCAUUACCAAAACUAAUUCCAAGGAAAGGGGAAUGGUGGAGAAAAAGGAAAAUUUAUUCCAAUAUUCUUCAAAUAUGGCAACAUCAACUGCAGUAUUAAAACUAAAGAAAAAGGAAAGUGUGCAAACUAUGCCCCAUUAAUUUUCUCGGUGGUUGUUUCAUUAUCUUGGCGGACAACGAUUUUUUCAUUUUUAUUUUUAUCUGGGACGGAAUUGAUUAAUGUGAAGAAUUUGAAUUAAGUACUUAAAAAUUAAGAAUGAACAAAUAGGAUAAUUGCAUGUUUCAUAUAAGAAAGGAUAAUUGUAUUUCGACCAAUAAAUUAAGCAAACUUAUUGGUUACUCGUAUGUGGUUUGACUUUACCCUAGUGUAGUAAAAAAGAAAUCAACACUCCCGAAAUUAAGCACUCUAAACAGCCAGGCGGAAUUGAUAAAUUUGAUCCCACAAUAAACAGUGGUCUAAAUAUUAGUCUGUUACUUCCACACUCCCCUUACCCCAUCCCACAAAUAAGUUUAAAGUAACAUAAGUAGUCCUCCGAGGCAUAACUAAGUGGUGCAAAGGACAGAAGUUAGAUAGUUUCAGAUAGUUUCAGUUUUGCUAAUAACCGCAGUAUGAGGGUUUUGAGAUAUGCAAUUGAACUUUUUGUGGGCACUAGUGUACGGACAAGUUCUUGUUCCUUGACCUGUUGGGGCACAUCCCGCGAUUUACCUCCCUCAUGAUGCUCCAGGAGCGGGACGGUGAGGGCCCUCAAGGUUGGAGUUCAACCUUUUUAAAGUAGCAUAAGUAACUUAAUAACAUAGUAAAAUGUGGCAGAGCAAGUGAAAGAGAUAUAGUGGAUCUAGGUAGAAUCUUUUAAACCGUGGAAAAUUGGUAGAUAUUUUAAAACUAAG